GUGCUUGCUUCAGCCGCACAUGCACUGACAUUGGAAUGGGGCAGAGAAGAUUAGCAUGGCCCCUGUGCAAGGAUGACACGCAAAUCUGUGAAGUGUUCCAUCACUGG
This is a small nuclear RNA of Capra hircus (goat), 107 nucleotides long. The record is from Ensembl. Lineage: Eukaryota; Metazoa; Chordata; Mammalia; Artiodactyla; Bovidae.